This 729-nucleotide ribosomal RNA is filed under the name Triticum aestivum (bread wheat). RNAcentral's name for it is "partial small subunit ribosomal RNA". The record is from RNAcentral. Lineage: Eukaryota; Viridiplantae; Streptophyta; Magnoliopsida; Poales; Poaceae.
AUGCAGAGAAGGCUCCUAGAUGCAAUUGCCAUAGUGCAGCGAUGGGGUAAACCAGAUUACUUCAUCACAAUGACAUGCAACCCAUACUGGGAGGACAUAACAACAGAGUUGAUGCCCGGACAGCUACCACAGGAUCGACCAGACCUGGUUGCAAGAGUGCACAAAGCAAAGCAGCGAGAUUUGGUGGACUUACUCAUCAAGAAGAAGCAUUUUGGCGAGGUUGCGGCCUAUGUUCAUGUGACCGAGUUUCAGAAAAGAGGGCUCCCACACGAACAUAUCCUUCUAAUCAUGAAGGCAGGUAGCAAGUUAAAGACUCCAGAUGACCAUGACAGAGUCAUAUCAGCAGACAUACCUGAUAAAAAUAAAUACCCUGUCCUGCAUGCUCUGGUCAUAAAACACAUGUUGCACGGGCCAUGUGGUGUCCUCAAUAAAAAAUGUGCUUGCAUGAUUGAGGAGCAGUGUCGUUUUCACUAUCCUCGGGAGUUUUGCCCCGCUACACAACAGGGAAAGGACUCAUAUCCCAUAUAUAGGAGGCGGGAUGACGGACGUCGAGUAAAAGUGAGAGGAGCAGAGUUGGACAAUAGGUGGGUGGUGCCUCACAACCCUUUUCUUCUCAUGAAGUACAACUGCCACAUCAAUGUAGAAGCUUGCUCGAGCAUCAAGGCAGUGAAGUAUUUGUUCAAGUACAUUUACAAGGGACAUGACCGAACAUCAUUUUCAUUCGAGUAG